UACAGAGGUCCCAAGCGUUGUUCGGAUUCAUUGGGCGUAAAGGGCGCGUAGGUGGCCCGGUCAGUUCGUGGUGAAAGCGCGGGGCUCAACCCUGGAAUGCCGGUGGAUACUGUCGGGCUCGAGUCCGGAAGAGGCGAGUGGAAUUCCUGGUGUAGCGGUGAAAUGCGCAGAUAUCAGGAGGAACACCAAUGGCGAAGGCAGCUCGCUGGGACGGUACUGACGCUGAGACGCGAAAGCGUGGGGAGCAAACAGG
Molecule: ribosomal RNA, 253 nt
Filed under: uncultured bacterium
Lineage: Bacteria
Description: partial 16S ribosomal RNA
Rfam family: Bacterial small subunit ribosomal RNA
Source: RNAcentral